RNAcentral lists this ribosomal RNA (253 nucleotides) under uncultured bacterium. RNAcentral describes it as "partial 16S ribosomal RNA". It matches the Rfam family "Bacterial small subunit ribosomal RNA", at positions 524 to 776 of the family's 1533-position model. The record is from RNAcentral.
UACGAAGGGGGCUAGCGUUGUUCGGAAUGACUGGGCGUAAAGAGCACGUAGGCGGAUUCUUAAGUUAGGGGUGAAAUCCCAAGGCUCAACCUUGGAACUGCCUUUAAUACUGGGAGUCUUGAGUUCGGGAGAGGUAAGUGGAACUGCAAGUGUAGAGGUGAAAUUCGUAGAUAUUUGCAAGAACACCAGUGGCGAAGGCGACUUACUGGACCGAUACUGACGCUGAGGUGCGAAAGCGUGGGGAGCAAACAGG